AGUGAAGCGGCAACAGCUCAAAUUUGAAAUCUGGCCCCUAGGGUCCGAGUUGUAAUUUGUAGAGGAUGCUUUUGGUGAGGUGCCGCCCGAGUUCCCUGGAACGGGACGCCACAGAGGGUGAGAGCCCCGUCUGGCUGGCCGCCGAGCCUCUGUAAAGCUCCUUCGACGAGUCGAGUAGUUUGGGAAUGCUGCUCAAAAUGGGAGGUAUAUGUCUUCUAGAGCUAAAUAUUGGCCAGAGACCGAUAGCGCACAAGUAGAGUGAUCGAAAGAUGAAAAGCACCUUGAAAAGAGGGUUAAAUAGUACGUGAAAUUGUUGAAAGGGAAGCGCUUGUGACCAGACUUGGGCGCGGCGGAUCAUCCGGGGUUCUCUCCGGUGCACUUCGCCGCGUCUAGGCCAGCAUCAGUUCGUCGCGUGGGACAAAGGCUUCGGGGACGUGGCUCCUCCGGGAGUGUUAUAGCCCGUUGCAUACUACCCUGCGGUGGACUGAGGACCGCGCAUC
RNAcentral lists this ribosomal RNA (500 nucleotides) under fungal sp. RNAcentral's name for it is "partial large subunit ribosomal RNA". It matches the Rfam family "Eukaryotic large subunit ribosomal RNA", at positions 92 to 601 of the family's 3401-position model. The record is from RNAcentral. Lineage: Eukaryota; Fungi.